GGACGGGUGAGUAACACGUGGGUAACCUGCCUGUAAGACUGGGAUAACUCCGGGAAACCGGAGCUAAUACCGGAUAGUUCCUUGAACCGCAUGGUUCAAGGAUGAAAGACGGUUUCGGCUGUCACUUACAGAUGGACCCGCGGCGCAUUAGCUAGUUGGUGAGGUAACGGCUCACCAAGGCGACGAUGCGUAGCCGACCUGAGAGGGUGAUCGGCCACACUGGGACUGAGACACGGCCCAGACUCCUACGGGAGGCAGCAGUAGGGAAUCUUCCGCAAUGGACGAAAGUCUGACGGAGCAACGCCGCGUGAGUGAUGAAGGUUUUCGGAUCGUAAAGCUCUGUUGUUAGGGAAGAACAAGUGCAAGAGUAACUGCUUGCACCUUGACGGUACCUAACCAGAAAGCCACGGCUAACUACGUGCCAGCAGCCGCGGUAAUACGUAGGUGGCAAGCGUUGUCCGGAAUUAUUGGGCGUAAAGGGCUCGCAGGCGGUUUCUUAAGUCUGAUGUGAAAGCCCCCGGCUCAACCGGGGAGGGUCAUUGGAAACUGGGGAAACUUGAGUGCAGAAGAGGAGAGUGGGAAUUCCACGUGUAGCGGUGAAAUGCGUAGAGAUGUGGAGGAACACCAGUGGCGAAGGCGACUCUCUGGUCUGUAACUGACGCUGAGGAGCGAAAGCGUGGGGGAGCGAACAGGAUUAGAUACCCUGGUAGUCCACGCCGUAAACGAUGAGUGCUAAGUGUUAGGGGGGUUUCCGCCCCUUAGUGCUGCAGCUAACGCAUUAAGCACUCCCGCCUGGGGAGUACGGUCGCAAGGACUGAAAACUCAGAGGAAUUGACGGGGGGCCCGCACAAGCGGUGGAGCAUGUGGUUUUAAUUCGAAGCAACGCGAAGAACCUUUACCAGGGUCUUGGACAUC
Molecule: ribosomal RNA, 915 nt
Filed under: Bacillus sp. MR74
Lineage: Bacteria; Bacillati; Bacillota; Bacilli; Caryophanales; Bacillaceae
Description: bacterial SSU rRNA
Rfam family: Bacterial small subunit ribosomal RNA
Source: RNAcentral